ACUGUGCAGCGAGAGAGGAGGGAAAGGGGAAGCGUUUGUGCCUCUCUGCCCUCUGUCCGCCUCUUGCUGCAUAGUAGCCACAUCCAUGUCUCUUGUACCCUGCAAUCUGGAGGCCACUGCCAGAAGCUGGAAAUCCCAAGUACAGCAGCAAAAGGCUUGAGGAUGGAUUCUUGGCUACUGGUGCAUUGCCACUCCCUGCGACCCUCCUCCUUGUCUUCUGUCUUCUCCUGGUGGCAUCAGGCCUUGCUUCGUGUCCCAACAGGAGCCUCUGGGGCUGGCACAGCCCUCACCGCCUACAACCUGGGCCUGGUGGUUCUCCUAGGGUGCCUCUGGGAGGUUGUGGCCACCCCGCUGCUGGCUAACUGCAGCUACUUCUGCCAGCCAGUGGACUAGAGAUGGAGCAAGCAUGGAAUGAGGGUAUGGCAGGGAGCAGGAAGCAAGCCUGGAGAGGGUUAAGAGGAACAACUUCACAACAAUCAGAGGGCAAGGAGGCAUCUUCCUGGAGACAGGUAGGCACUGUGGAAUCAGCAGUGCGUAGAACAGUGAGGAAUUAGGGCUGAACCCAGCCCAGGUGGGACAAGCCCUGGCACCAGCCGACUGCAGUCUGAUGGAACUUCCCCUUCCUGCCCAGCAGAUGGCGAGCGUGUGCUGCUGGUGCCUCUUUCCAAAGGAUGUUGAAUUGUUUGACAGCCCUGCCCAGCAUCUAGAAGACCACCUGAAGCUUUCACAUUAUGAGACCUUAGAUCCUGCGAGGGUUUGAAUUUCAAAAGCCUCAAUUAAAGCACACAGUGUUCUUUACUUUAUGAAUGAAACCAGAGCAGCCCACCUUCCUGCAUCUCUACCACCAUGGCACCAUGCCCUGUGAAGGGUGAGCUGGAGUCAAAUACGUAGCAGGCAGCCAGGGUCAGUUUGUGGCCACUGCUGCCUCCUCUUCCUAUGGUCUCCUCACUGAGUGCCCCUUCCCUGUUGGGUUCAACAUGUCUAUGCUCCUGUAAGCCCUCAGCCUCCUCGUUCUCUUCCUCAACUUCUACCACCAGACACACCUGAGAGGCAAGCAAGAGAGGCUAAACUAGGAGCAGGACCCAGGGACUGAAACCAGCACAGCAUCCCCACAGAGAAUUGGGUGGAAGGCAGCAUGGCUUCCAGCUUACUGGUGCCGAGCAGAUUCCCCUGGGUCUCCAUUGUAUCCUCUGAAGGAAGGAGGAGGAUUGCCUUCUGUCCAGAUCUCAGGAUCAAACAAAUAGGUCCAACUUCCUGUGCUCACUUCAGUUAGAGCACUUCUCAUGUGACUUUGUAGCUUUGUGUGCAUCUCCUUCCUCUACUAGACCUAAGCCCCUCACUGGAAGGACUCUCUUAUUCUUGAUGUUCCCCACAUCUGGAAUUUCAAUAAACAUCUCAAUAAAC
This 1404-nucleotide small RNA is filed under the name Pongo abelii (Sumatran orangutan). RNAcentral's name for it is "sense overlapping". The record is from RNAcentral. Lineage: Eukaryota; Metazoa; Chordata; Mammalia; Primates; Hominidae.